UACAGAGGGGGCAAGCGUUGUUCGGAAUUAUUGGGCGUAAAGAGCUCGUAGGCGGUCUGUCGCGUCGGAUGUGAAAACCCAGGGCUCAACCCUGGGCCUGCAUUCGAUACGGGCAGACUAGAGUUCGGUAGGGGAGACUGGAAUUCCUGGUGUAGCGGUGAAAUGCGCAGAUAUCAGGAGGAACACCAAUUGCGAAGGCAGCUCGCUGGGACGUUACUGACGCUGAGACGCGAAAGCGUGGGGAGCAAACAGG
This 253-nucleotide ribosomal RNA is filed under the name uncultured bacterium. RNAcentral's name for it is "partial 16S ribosomal RNA". It matches the Rfam family "Bacterial small subunit ribosomal RNA", at positions 524 to 776 of the family's 1533-position model. The record is from RNAcentral.